Molecule: long non-coding RNA, 267 nt
Organism: Bradysia coprophila
Lineage: Eukaryota; Metazoa; Arthropoda; Insecta; Diptera; Sciaridae
Source: RefSeq, a predicted model, not a curated record
AAAAGUGUGUAUAUGUUUUGGCACCAAAAGAUGAAGCUACUUUUCUAAAAAGUUCGCAUUUGUACAAAGUUAUCAAAAUAGUUAUUUAUGCAACCGAGUCGUGAUAAACAGAUAAACUGAAAAAGGGCGCCCAAAGGAACUAAAGCUUAUGAUACAUCAUUCGAAAGGUGUUGGCCUGGAACUACUUUUUGUAGAGUAUGAAACUCCAUAAUGUAGUGGAGUGAUAGACGAAAAUGUGAAUUUUAGUUUUGAUUAUUUCUCUCAAGU